Molecule: small nucleolar RNA, 107 nt
Filed under: Ricinus communis (castor bean)
Lineage: Eukaryota; Viridiplantae; Streptophyta; Magnoliopsida; Malpighiales; Euphorbiaceae
Description: Plant small nucleolar RNA R71
Rfam family: Plant small nucleolar RNA R71
About the family: R71 is a member of the C/D box family of snoRNAs containing the C (UGAUGA) and D (CUGA) box motifs.
Source: Rfam by way of RNAcentral
AGACCGUGGUGUGGACAACAUCUCAACAACUCCUUGUACCUCUCCCAAGCAUCAUAUAUGCUCUCGUCUUUCAUCUGCACAAAAGAAGAAAUGUCAUUCCUUAAUUU